RNAcentral lists this ribosomal RNA (427 nucleotides) under uncultured prokaryote. Its description in RNAcentral is "bacterial SSU rRNA". It matches the Rfam family "Bacterial small subunit ribosomal RNA", at positions 355 to 774 of the family's 1533-position model. The record is from RNAcentral.
UCGAGAAUAAUUCGCAAUGGACGAAAGUCUGACGAUGCGACGCCGCGUGAACGAUGAAGGCCUUCGGGUUGUAACGUUCUGUUGCCUUGGAACAAGAGUGAUUGUCAAAUAGACGGUCACGAUGAGGGUACAAGGAGAGGAAGCACCGGCUAAUUCCGUGCCAGCAGCUGCGGUAAUACGGAAGGUGCAAGCGUUAGUCGGAAUUACUGGGCGUAAAGGGUGCGUAGGCGGUUAUAUAAGUCGUUUGUGAAAUUCCGGGGCUUAACUUCGGAGCUGCAAUCGAAACUAUAUAACUAGAGGAAAGGCGGAGAAAAUGGAAUUCCAUAUGUAGCGGUGAAAUGCGUAGAUAUAUGGAAGAACACCUGUGGCGAAAGCGGUUUUCUAGCUUAAUCCUGACGCUGAGGCACGAAAGCAAGGGGAGCAAACA